GUGAAUCAUCAAAUCUUUGAACGCAAAUUGCGCCUUUUUCGGAAGGCAUGUCUGUUUGAGGGCACCAUUUAACAAAUAAUGUGCAUUUUGUGUUCACACGUGGAUGAGCUUUCCAAAAUUAUGUAUUAUCUUUGAUGGUUCAUAAUAUACAGCGCGAUGCUUUUUUUCAGUUUUAGUGUAGUAAAAUUUUUUCUUGUUUUGGUUGUGUAAAGCGUGAUAGCGCAAUGUUAGUGGCAAUUUUAUC
This 244-nucleotide unclassified non-coding RNA is filed under the name Paraglomus occultum. Its description in RNAcentral is "partial contains 5.8S ribosomal RNA and internal transcribed spacer 2". The stretch from base 1 to 65 matches the Rfam family "5.8S ribosomal RNA", at positions 84 to 154 of the family's 154-position model. Lineage: Eukaryota; Fungi; Glomeromycota; Glomeromycetes; Paraglomerales; Paraglomeraceae. The record is from RNAcentral.